UACGUAGGGGGCGAGCGUUGUUCGGAAUUACUGGGCGUAAAGGGCGUGUAGGCGGCCCCUUUUGUCGCGUGUGAAAGCCCCGGGCUCAACCUGGGAACUGCAUCUGUGACUGCAUUGCUGGAGUGCGGCAGAGGGGGAUGGAAUUCCGCGUGUAGCAGUGAAAUUCGUAGAUAUUCGCAAGAACACCAGUGGCGAAGGCGGCUCACUGGCCCGAUACUGACGCUGAGGUGCGAAAGCGUGGGGAGCAAACAGG
RNAcentral lists this ribosomal RNA (253 nucleotides) under uncultured bacterium. RNAcentral describes it as "partial 16S ribosomal RNA". It matches the Rfam family "Bacterial small subunit ribosomal RNA", at positions 524 to 776 of the family's 1533-position model. The record is from RNAcentral.